UACGGAGGGUGCGAGCGUUGUCCGGAAUCAUUGGGCGUAAAGGGCGCGUAGGUGGCCCGGUCAGUUCGUGGUGAAAGCGCGGGGCUCAACUCCGCGUCGGCCAUGAAUACUGCUGGGCUGGAGCACUGUAGAGGCAGGCGGAAUUCCGGGUGUAGCGGUGGAAUGCGUAGAGAUCCGGAAGAACACCGGUGACGAAGGCGGCCUGCUGGGCAGUUGCUGACACUGAGGCGCGACAGCGUGGGGAGCAAACAGG
This 253-nucleotide ribosomal RNA is filed under the name uncultured bacterium. Its description in RNAcentral is "partial 16S ribosomal RNA". It matches the Rfam family "Bacterial small subunit ribosomal RNA", at positions 524 to 776 of the family's 1533-position model. The record is from RNAcentral.